UUAAGCCUACUAGCAUUAUUAAUUUGUAAUAAAUUGUUAUAAGGACAUGAGUUUACUUCUGUGUGCCACUGUCAUUGAAAAACAAUUUCUCUGUUCAUCAAACUGUUCACAAUAUUUAUGUGUAGUUUGUGUGAGACUCGAGUUAGAGUCAAAUUCGGACAGAGGUAGAGGAGUCAUUUAAUGAUUUCACUGAAUAGUGAAUAUGAUUCAUUUAUUCAGUAAAUUUCAAGCUUGUAAGUUGUAUCAACAACAAUUCUAAUAUUAAUAAGCUUAGAAAUAUAGUGAUGGUAUUUCUAAAUAAUUGAGCUGUUUUUCUCAUUGGAUUCUACUCGAAAUUGCUGUGACUCAGCUCAAAUGAAAAUUGACUCUGACUCAAACACAAAUUGAAAUGUUGGGAAAUGAUUCAAACAACUGUGGCUUAAUUCCAGGUCUGGCAGAGUGAGGGAGCUUCAAAAUAAUUUUAUUUCUAAAUGCAUACAUAACCUAAUUAAGUUUGAAACCACAUUUUUUCAAACGAUUAAAAAUAUAUAAUAAAUUCUGUGUUAGUUGUGUGAAGUAAUAGUAAGAGAAAUAAAAUAUAAAACAUUCCCAUGAGAAUCUUCCAAAAUUCAAUAAAGUAAAAGAGCUAGAAGUGUAUGUAAUGUUUUUUAGAGUUUACAUUGCUUUUAACAACAUAACUGAUGCUUCCUUACUGUUUACUUGCUGUGUUUUAGCAUUCUGUUACUUGAGAAGAAAGUGUAAAAGUAUGGUUGCUAACACAUAGCGGAACCAUACAAGUAUGUAUAAUUUUGUUGUGAGCUUUAUUUUCAAUGUUUUAACUUAAAUGUUUGCUUGAACCUCGACCUACAAUUUGUGUUAAAGUGAAUGUAGCCUAUACUGUAGAAAAUGUUGUUGAAAAAAUAAAUUAAUUCAUUACUGUUACAUAUACUGGAUUUGGCAUUAUUUUUAUUAGAUAAUCUGAAAGAAACCACCCAAUGAUAGAACAUGCUAUAACAAUUUCUUUUGAUGUGUGAAUCAUGUUGAUAAAAGCCUUUUUAUACUUUGUGUAAAUCUUGACUUUAUCAGUAUUUAUUUAUUAAAAGUUGAUUGAAAGCA
Molecule: long non-coding RNA, 1095 nt
Organism: Limulus polyphemus (Atlantic horseshoe crab)
Lineage: Eukaryota; Metazoa; Arthropoda; Merostomata; Xiphosura; Limulidae
Exons: 2
Source: RefSeq, a predicted model, not a curated record